UCAAAAGCGUGUUUCGUGUUACGGUGUAAUUAAAGUGAAAGCAAUAAAGUGUUACACAAGUGCCGAGAAUAAAAAUAACAACAAUGAAAACGUCAAAGCCACCCAUUAAAUAUGGAUUAAAUUCAUCGCAAACUUGUUACAUUUGUCGAUAAAAGUGUGGGCUAGAAUUCUUUGCGGUGGCAACACUUUGCGAGAGAGAUGAGAGUAUGAGAAAAGUGACUGCGCCGUGUGAAAAGGUGACCAUCUUUGGCAAAUAAAUAACAGAGACAGUUGGUAGUGUGGAAUUGUUUGGAAAAUCGAAACUAAACCAAACAACAACAACAACAAAAACGACGAGAGUGCACAAAUGAUGCAAAUAAAUGUAGUUACAAUAACAAGUAUAGAGAAAAACUCAUAUCAACAAUGUAAAACAAUACUAAAUAACCAAAUUUUACGGUAGAAUGGCAUUUGUUAAGCAACAAAAGGUAGAGAAGGAACAAAAAGCAACUAAAUUAGCAGAAGUAUUUGUAUGUAUGUAGUUAAUUAAGUGAUGAACACCCAAGUAGUAAUAUCGAUGGCGUAAAGCAGCGCUUAAUCUCUUUAAUAAUGAUAACAGGUUGCACUUGAAGCCCGCAAAACAAAGAAAUUCAAAAUUGUGGAUAAGUAGCAACAAAGCACAUCGCAUUGAAGCACCAAAAUGACCAAAAGCGCUAGCUGCAAAGCAAAUGGUAACAAGUAAUAGCCAAUAAAGUUAACAAUAACAACAAUUGUGAGAAAAAAUCUCCGAACACCAGCUCAGCAUAUUAAUAGCAACUCCAAUUCUGGCAACAACAACAACCACAACUUGCAAACACCAACAGUUCAACACAACAGUCGUUGACUUUAGCGGCCACAAAGCCCAUUGAAAAUACAAUACUAUUAAACAUACAAACAGUCAAACAGCCAAAACUUCAGCAUUAAUGAAGUAGCUGAAGAUGAUCAAGCUAAUAAUGAUGAUUAGAUAGUGUUAAUAAUGAUGUUGAGGUUGUUGAAGAAUCACAGAACAAAAAUGCGAUAGGAAACAAACAUGAACACUUAUGCAUACAGCGCCACAAUCACACAUUGCCGUGUGUGAAUGUUUGUAGGACUGUGUGCAUGUGUGUGUGUACAAAUGCCGAAAAAACCUAAUGGGAAAAAUGUAUCUAUAUCUGUUUUUGUUCUUGUCGCCACUUUUGCUAGAAGCUAUAAUACUAUUGACAUGACUGUAAAUGUCACUGUUGUUGUUGUAGUUGUUAUUGCUGUUGUUACGGCUGCUCCUGCUGUUAUGCUAUUAUUGUGGUUGUUAGUUUUUUGGUCUUUGCACCAUCAACAUUUUAAGCCUCUGCGCCGAAGAUUAACUAUAGAUAUUUAGAUUUUUACGAUUGUACAUAUGCACAUACAGACAUAACAGCGAUUACAUACAAUGUAUGUAUUUUAAGUUAGUUAACCAAGAUUUUUGGCUGUGUAAAAUAUUUACACAUAUUAAUACUCACUAUAGAAUUGCGGAAAAAUUUUGAAAAUAUUUUAUUACACAAAAAAAAAAGUUUAAAAGUGACUGCUUUGCUAGUUUUUUUCUCUAAUCUUUCUUUUUAAUAUUUAUUCAAUAUUUUCUUGACAAACAUUUUUUUUUUUAAAUUUUUAAAUUUUUUUUCACUGACUUAAGUGUAUUUAUUUUAUAUAAUUAUUUUUUAAUCAAUAGGUACAAUACACAUUUCUUUUUUUUGUUACUGCGUACACAAACAGUUGAUGUCACAUUUGCUGAGAGUAGAUAAUAUUUCUUCGCUUCGCUUCUCUUAUUUUAUUUAUUUAUUUUCACUUUCGUUUGUGUACUUUGUGUUGAUCUACUUUUGCCACAAAUCAAAUUUGCAUUUCAUUAUCUUUUAAUUAUAAAUUCAAUAACAUCUCAUUUAUUGCUCACUUAUAGACGAAAAAGCUGGCGACUCAAUUUCUUCGCACACACAUACACUACGGCACGUCACUACACUUUACCGAUAUUUCGUAGAUAAUUUUUUUCUAUUUCUAUGUCGCACGGGUGCACUUUAACACAUUUUAGUUUAUUUUAUUUUUUCACUAUUUAUUUAUUUUUUGUAUAUAUUCUUCUAUUAUUUGUUAGAAUAUUUACACUGUAUGUGGUUGUUGUUGUUUUUUGCUUGCAACUUGUGUAUACAUAUCUAUUAUUUGACAUCGCGCAUUCAUAUAGAUUAUGCACAAACAACAACAAAUAAAUAAAGCACAUAUAAAAAUUUAUAUUACACGCGACGGCAUUGACGAAGAGACAAAUAGAAUUUUGCUGCCAUUCAUUGCUCCCCGGCACGUAAUACUAUUCAGGCUAACCACACAAAAAAUUUCAUAUCCCGUCGUCGUCGUCGUCAUCGGCGGCGACAUUCGACGUUCUCAUCGUUGCCAUCAGCACACAAAAAAGAUCUCUGCAAUAACAGCCAAAUACUCGAUUAAUGUAUACAACAACAGAAGGGAGAACCGACCGACCAGCAAGUCAACCAACCAAACAACACACAACAACAGCACAACAACAUGACAGCAGCAGCCGUAAACAGCACAAACACACACGCACACAUACACACAGUCAACGGUAUAAGAACGGUGUGGUAAAAAGGAAGUGACGAAAAAAGUCAACAUAUUCGGUAUCCGUAUUCGUACGUGUGGUGCGCCAUACACGUAAAAUCACUUAGCCCAGAGAGCAACAGCAACAAACACACAAGGUAACACUGAUACAUGCAUACAAACAUAUGUAGAUACAUUCGUUUACUCGAAAGCAUGCAACAGCACAAGCAUAAAGCAGCAGUGCGGCAGUGUCAGUGGCAACACCAAAUGCGAACCGACUAACGCAAAAACAGUAACAACAUUAUUUAAUAGUAACAACAGUGCGACAUGGCUUAAGCAUAUCAACAGAGCGCGCGCACAAAAAGCGAUGGCGUUGCCAGAUGGGUACUUUAACGCGGUUUGUCAACUAUUUGGUAGAAGAGCAUGAAAUUUACACAAUAAAUAAAUUAUAUUUUUAGUUAGUAAAAUAUAUCGUUAUAUCUCUGCAAUUUACAGUUAUAAAUUUCUAUGCUAGUGUGAAGUACAUUAAAUAAUUUUAUUAAAUGCGACUUACGCAAUAUCUAAUAAAAAUUUAUAGAAAUCGUCUUCUAAAAUGUAACAAUAAAGUCAGAAGUUAUUAGAUAAUUUAAUAAUCA
Long non-coding RNA from Bactrocera oleae (olive fruit fly), 3194 nucleotides. RefSeq lists it as uncharacterized. The record is from RefSeq and is a predicted model, not a curated record. NCBI's taxonomy places the organism in Eukaryota, Metazoa, Arthropoda, Insecta, Diptera, Tephritidae.